GUGCCAGCCGCCGCGGUAAUACAGAGGGUGCAAGCGUUAAUCGGAAUUACUGGGCGUAAAGCGCGCGUAGGUGGUUCGUUAAGUUGGAUGUGAAAUCCCCGGGCUCAACCUGGGAACUGCGUUCUGAACUGGGUGACUAGAGUGUGUCAGAGGGAGGUAGAAUUCCACGUGUAGCAGUGAAAUGCGUAGAGAUGUGGAGGAAUACCGAUGGCGAAGGCGACCACCUGGACUGAUACUGACACUGAGGUGC
RNAcentral lists this ribosomal RNA (250 nucleotides) under uncultured bacterium. Its description in RNAcentral is "partial 16S ribosomal RNA". It matches the Rfam family "Bacterial small subunit ribosomal RNA", at positions 505 to 754 of the family's 1533-position model. The record is from RNAcentral.